Felis catus (domestic cat) is the source of this 1101-nucleotide long non-coding RNA. RefSeq lists it as uncharacterized. The record is from RefSeq and is a predicted model, not a curated record. The transcript has 4 exons. NCBI's taxonomy places the organism in Eukaryota, Metazoa, Chordata, Mammalia, Carnivora, Felidae.
AAACUGACAUUGCUCCGGGAACACCCAAUUGUCUUAAUGUCCAUGCUUUGCUAGAGGAAAAACAAGUGGUUAACUGAUAGAGAUCACAGUCAUGCAGGCCAUAGUCUCUAUCAGUUUACAACUGUCUUAAUGAUUUACAAGGAAAACAGCAACUUUGUCAAUAGCCAAACUUCCAGAAACCUAUAGACUCAGUUUCCUGGGACGCUGACGUCACUCUUCACAACCCAAGUGCAGCUCUUUCUGCCCACAGGUCCCGUCCCUGUGCUUUAAUAAAGCCACCUUUCGCACCAAAGACAUCUCAAGAAGUCUUUCUUGGCUGUCAACUCUGGACCCCAACACUUCAAACCACAUUAUUUGGCAACUACAAAGGGACUCAGUCUUCUCAUCUGGACUCUGGGCCUCGGUGCAAACUUGCUCUCUCCACUUGGUGCCCAGACUCCUUCACUGCCAUAAUUUCAAGUUGACAGAUGAUCCUUUCCACUUAGGAAGCCCCAUACAUGUGUCUUCCUUGAUUCAGCUGCUUCUGCCUUUUGUAACUCCUACAUAUAUAAACCUCCAACUGACCAAUGUUGACCCAAAGUUCACAAGCCAAGAAGGAAAGAGACACACUAAAACAGAUGGGACUUGGAGGUGAACCCAAUAAAGCAAGUUGCUGUGGUUGCUCUGCCCUAUGGAAGGCCUCCCAGAGCAAGCAGGGCCAACCAGGAACUGAACCCUGCCAACAUCAGUGAGCUUAGAAUCUGAUGCUCUCCUGGUCGAGCCUCGAGAUGAAAGCAGCCCUGGCCAUCACCUUGACUGCAUCCUGGUGAAAGGCCUUGAGCCAGGGCACCCAGCAAAACCACUUUUGGAUUCUUGAUCCACAGAAACUGUGAGAUAAAAAUGCCUGUUAUUUGUCAUUUGUUAUUUUAGCCACUGUUUUGUGGUAACUUCUUACAUAUUAGUAGAUAACAAGUACAUCAAGGACUACCAUAUCUACUGCCGGCAACACCCUGAUGUCAUAAUUUCAAUGUUACUAAAAUGGCCUGUAGGGUAGAUGUCAGUAAACCAGUAGUAUUUCAUAAUAAGAGUAACAUAUUUCCAGCAAAACCGUACUUACUAAGA